This 439-nucleotide ribosomal RNA is filed under the name Pronotogrammus multifasciatus (threadfin bass). RNAcentral's name for it is "LSU rRNA". It matches the Rfam family "Bacterial large subunit ribosomal RNA", at positions 2043 to 2621 of the family's 2925-position model. Lineage: Eukaryota; Metazoa; Chordata; Actinopteri; Perciformes; Anthiadidae. The record is from RNAcentral.
UGAUCUUCCCGUGCAGAAGCGGGAAUAUAAACAUAAGACGAGAAGACCCUAUGGAGCUUUAGACACAAGAGCAGAGCACGUCAAACGCCCCUAAGCAAGGGCCAAAACCUAAUGCACCCCCUGCCCUAAUGUCUUUGGUUGGGGCGACCGCGGCGAAAAAUUUAACCUCCGCGUGGACCGGGAGCACUUUCUUAUUUUCUCCUACACCCAAGAGCCACAGCUCUAAGUAACAGAACUUUUGACCUUUCAUGAUCCGGCAAAGCCGAUCAACGAACCGAGUUACCCUAGGGAUAACAGCGCAAUCCUCUUCUAGAGCCCAUAUCGACAAGAGGGUUUACGACCUCGAUGUUGGAUCAGGACAUCCUAAUGGUGCAGCCGCUAUUAAGGGUUCGUUUGUUCAACGAUUAAAGUCCUACGUGAUCUGAGUUCAGACCGGACG